UACGUAGGUGGCAAGCGUUGUCCGGAAUUACUGGGCGUAAAGCGCGCGCAGGCGGGAAUUUAAGUCAGGAGUGAAAACUGAGGGCUCAACCCUCAGCCUGCUUCUGAAACUGGAUUUCUUGAGGGUAUGAGAGGAAAGCGGAAUUCCUAGUGUAGCGGUGAAAUGCGUAGAUAUUAGGAGGAACACCAGUGGCGAAGGCGGCUUUCUGGCAUACAACUGACGCUGAGGCGCGAAAGCGUGGGGAGCAAACGGG
Molecule: ribosomal RNA, 253 nt
Filed under: uncultured bacterium
Lineage: Bacteria
Also listed under: 1 other name
Description: partial 16S ribosomal RNA
Rfam family: Bacterial small subunit ribosomal RNA
Source: RNAcentral